This 345-nucleotide unclassified non-coding RNA is filed under the name soil metagenome. RNAcentral's name for it is "partial contains 5.8S ribosomal RNA, internal transcribed spacer 2, and large subunit ribosomal RNA". The stretch from base 1 to 120 matches the Rfam family "5.8S ribosomal RNA", at positions 35 to 154 of the family's 154-position model. The record is from RNAcentral.
GAUGAAGAACGUAGCGAAAUGCGAUACGUAAUGUGAAUUGCAGAAUUCAGUGAAUCAUCGAGUCUUUGAACGCACAUUGCGCCCCCUGGUAUUCCGGGGGGCAUGCCUGUCCGAGCGUCAUUGCUGCCCUCAAGCCCGGCUUGUGUGUUGGGUCUCGUCCCCCUUCCCGGGGGGACGGGCCCGAAAGGCAGCGGCGGCACCGCGUCCGGUCCUCGAGCGUAUGGGGCUUUGUCACCCGCUCUGUAGGCCCGGCCGGCGCUUGCCGAUCAACCAAAACUUUUUUCCAGGUUGACCUCGGAUCAGGUAGGGAUACCCGCUGAACUUAAGCAUAUCAAUAAGGGAGGA